RNAcentral lists this ribosomal RNA (1040 nucleotides) under Cellulomonas sp. 8_25. RNAcentral's name for it is "bacterial SSU rRNA". It matches the Rfam family "Bacterial small subunit ribosomal RNA", at positions 71 to 1125 of the family's 1533-position model. The record is from RNAcentral. Lineage: Bacteria; Bacillati; Actinomycetota; Actinomycetes; Micrococcales; Cellulomonadaceae.
AUGGCCAGCUUGCUGGUCUGAUCAGUGGCGAACGGGUGAGUAACACGUGAGCAACCUACCCUUCACUCUGGGAUAAGCCCUGGAAACGGGGUCUAAUACCGGAUAUGAGACGCGCAUGCAUGUGCAGCGUCUGGAAAGAUUUAUCGGUGGGGGAUGGGCUCGCGGCCUAUCAGCUUGUUGGUGGGGUAGUGGCCUACCAAGGCGACGACGGGUAGCCGGCCUGAGAGGGCGACCGGCCACACUGGGACUGAGACACGGCCCAGACUCCUACGGGAGGCAGCAGUGGGGAAUAUUGCACAAUGGGCGCAAGCCUGAUGCAGCGACGCCGCGUGAGGGAUGACGGCCUUCGGGUUGUAAACCUCUUUCAGCAGGGAAGAAGCGCAAGUGACGGUACCUGCAGAAGAAGCGCCGGCUAACUACGUGCCAGCAGCCGCGGUAAUACGUAGGGCGCAAGCGUUGUCCGGAAUUAUUGGGCGUAAAGAGCUCGUAGGCGGUUUGUCGCGUCUGCUGUGAAAACCUAAGGCUCAACCUUGGGCUUGCAGUGGGUACGGGCAGACUAGAGUGCGGUAGGGGUGACUGGAAUUCCUGGUGUAGCGGUGGAAUGCGCAGAUAUCAGGAGGAACACCGAUGGCGAAGGCAGGUCACUGGGCCGCAACUGACGCUGAGGAGCGAAAGCAUGGGGAGCGAACAGGAUUAGAUACCCUGGUAGUCCAUGCCGUAAACGUUGGGCACUAGGUGUGGGGCUCAUUCCACGAGUUCCGUGCCGCAGCAAACGCAUUAAGUGCCCCGCCUGGGGAGUACGGCCGCAAGGCUAAAACUCAAAGAAAUUGACGGGGGCCCGCACAAGCGGCGGAGCAUGCGGAUUAAUUCGAUGCAACGCGAAGAACCUUACCAAGGCUUGACAUACACCGGAAACUUCCAGAGAUGGUUGCCCCGCAAGGUCGGUGUACAGGUGGUGCAUGGUUGUCGUCAGCUCGUGUCGUGAGAUGUUGGUUUAAGUCCCGCAACGAGCGCAACCCUCGUCCCAUGUUGCCAGCGGG